This 72-nucleotide transfer RNA is filed under the name Heterocephalus glaber (naked mole-rat). It matches the Rfam family "tRNA". From Rfam's summary of the family: Transfer RNA (tRNA) molecules are approximately 80 nucleotides in length. Their secondary structure includes four short double-helical elements and three loops (D, anti-codon, and T loops). Lineage: Eukaryota; Metazoa; Chordata; Mammalia; Rodentia; Bathyergidae. The record is from Rfam by way of RNAcentral.
GGACACGUAGCUCAGCAGUAGAGUGUUUACUUAGCAUGUAUGAGGCCCUAGGUUCAACCCCCAGUCAGUCCC